Stomoxys calcitrans (stable fly) is the source of this 380-nucleotide long non-coding RNA. RefSeq lists it as uncharacterized. The transcript has 2 exons. Lineage: Eukaryota; Metazoa; Arthropoda; Insecta; Diptera; Muscidae. The record is from RefSeq and is a predicted model, not a curated record.
AUGGCAGCAGCCGGUGUUCAUGUACAGAAAACACGACAUAUUAAGUAGUAAUAUUACCUCAAGUUGGUUGUUCUAUAUUAAAAGGGCAGUUAAAAGUGACGCACAGUCGAAUUGGAAAUAAUUUGUCUGCCAAUUGAAGCUGUGUUUGGGAACUCUAAAUUUGUGCAAAUUUGCACAAAUUUUUACUGGAAGUCGAAAUUUGCAACUUUGAACAGUAGUGGAAUUCAGUAGUGUUUAAAGGAAGAUCGUUUAGUUAAAAAGCAAUAACAGUAAUGUUAAUUUGGUAUUCAGUAGCCACUUUUAACGAUAAUCGACAUCGUUAAAAACAGUUGUUUUCGCUAACGAAUUUCUAUUCGUUAACUAAACAACAGACUAUUAUU